RNAcentral lists this ribosomal RNA (301 nucleotides) under uncultured bacterium. RNAcentral's name for it is "partial 16S ribosomal RNA". It matches the Rfam family "Bacterial small subunit ribosomal RNA", at positions 509 to 807 of the family's 1533-position model. The record is from RNAcentral.
CAGCAGCCGCGGUAAUACGUAGGGUGCAAGCGUUAAUCGGAAUUACUGGGCGUAAAGCGUGCGCAGGCGGUUAUUCAAGACAGAUGUGAAAUCCCCGGGCUCAACCUGGGAACUGCAUUUGUGACUGGAUGACUAGAGUACGGCAGAGGGGGAUGGAAUUCCGCGUGUAGCAGUGAAAUGCGUAGAUAUGCGGAGGAACACCGAUGGCGAAGGCAAUCCCCUGGGCCUGUACUGACGCUCAUGCACGAAAGCGUGGGGAGCAAACAGGAUUAGAUACCCCUGUAGUCCCUGUCUCUUAUAC